GAUGAACGCUGACAGAAUGCUUAACACAUGCAAGUCGACUUGAAGCAACUUCGGUUGUGGAAAGUGGCGGACGGGUGAGUAACGCGUAAAGAACUUGCCCUUCAGUCUGGGACAACCAUUGGAAACGAUGGCUAAUACCGGAUAUUAUGGAACUCUCGCAUGGGAGGAUCAUGAAAGCUAUAUGCGCUGAAGGAGAGCUUUGCGUUCCAUUAGCUAGUUGGUGAGGUAACGGCUCACCAAGGCGACGAUGGAUAGCCGGCCUGAGAGGGUGAUCGGCCACAAGGGGACUGAGACACGGCCCUUACUCCUACGGGAGGCAGCAGUGGGGAAUAUUGGGCAAUGGACCAAAAGUCUGAUCCAGCAAUUCUGUGUGCACGAUGAAGGUUUUCGGAUCGUAAAGUGCUUUCAGUUGGGAAGAAGAAAGUGACGGUACCAACAGAAGAAGCGACGGCUAAAUACGUGCCAGCAGCCGCGGUAAUACGUAUGUCGCAAGCGUUAUCCGGAUUUAUUGGGCGUAAAGCGCGUCUAGGCGGAUUCAUAAGUCUGAUGUUAAAAUGCGGGGCUCAACUCCGUAUUGCGUUGGAAACUGUGAAUCUAGAGUAUCAGAGAGGUGGGCGGAACUACAAGUGUAGAGGUGAAAUUCGUAGAUAUUUGUAGGAAUGCCGAUGGAGAAGUCAGCUCACUGGAUGAUACUGACGCUAAAGCGCGAAAGCGUGGGUAGCAAACAG
Molecule: ribosomal RNA, 728 nt
Filed under: uncultured bacterium
Lineage: Bacteria
Description: bacterial SSU rRNA
Rfam family: Bacterial small subunit ribosomal RNA
Source: RNAcentral